ACGGAAGGCAGCAGCUAAGAAUAUUCCGCAAUGGACGAAAGUCUGACGGAGCGACGCCGCGUGGAUGAUGAAGGUCGGCAGAUUGUAAAAUCCUUUCAUACUGAGGAAUAAGCAGUGUGAGAGAAACGCACUGUGGUGACAGUAGGUUAUGAAUAAGCAACGGCUAAUUACGUGCCAGCAGCCGCGGUAACACGUAAGUUGCGAGCGUUGUUCGGAAUUAUUGGGCGUAAAGGGCAUGUAGGCGGUUGUGCAAGCGUGGUGUGAAAUCGCGGAGCUCAACUCCGGAAUUGCGUUGAUAACUGCAUGACUGGAGUCACUGAGAGGCAAUCAGAAUUCCUAGUGUAGGGGUGAAAUCUGUAGAUAUCAGGAAGAAUACCAAUGGCGAAGGCAGGUUACCAGCAGAUUACUGACGCUUAGGUGCGAAGGUGCGGGGAGCAAACAGGAUUAGAUACCCUGGUA
RNAcentral lists this ribosomal RNA (459 nucleotides) under uncultured Treponema sp. Its description in RNAcentral is "partial 16S ribosomal RNA". It matches the Rfam family "Bacterial small subunit ribosomal RNA", at positions 341 to 792 of the family's 1533-position model. Lineage: Bacteria; Pseudomonadati; Spirochaetota; Spirochaetia; Treponematales; Treponemataceae. The record is from RNAcentral.